GCCUACGACCAUAUCACCCUGAAUGCGCCCGAUCUCGUCUGAUCUCGGAAGCUAAGCAUGGUCGAGCCUGGUUAGUAUUUGGAUGGGAGACUGCCUGGGAAUACCAGGUGUUGUAGGCU
This 119-nucleotide ribosomal RNA is filed under the name Petromyzon marinus (sea lamprey). Lineage: Eukaryota; Metazoa; Chordata; Hyperoartia; Petromyzontiformes; Petromyzontidae. The record is from RNAcentral.